Molecule: ribosomal RNA, 492 nt
Filed under: uncultured bacterium
Lineage: Bacteria
Description: partial 16S ribosomal RNA
Rfam family: Bacterial small subunit ribosomal RNA
Source: RNAcentral
AGUGAACGCUGGCGGUAGGCCUAACACAUGCAAGUCGAACGGCAGCACAGUAAGAGCUUGCUCUUACGGGUGGCGAGUGGCGGACGGGUGAGGAAUACAUCGGAAUCUACUUUUUCGUGGGGGAUAACGUAGGGAAACUUACUCUAAUACCGCAUACGACCUACGGGUGAAAGCAGGGGAUCUUCGGACCUUGCGCGAUUGAAUGAGCCGAUGUCGGAUUAGCUAGUUGGCGGGGUAAAGGCCCACCAAGGCGACGAUCCGUAGCUGGUCUGAGAGGAUGAUCAGCCACACUGGAACUGAGACACGGUCCAGACUCCUACGGGAGGCAGCAGUGGGGAAUAUUGGACAAUGGGCGCAAGCCUGAUCCAGCCAUACCGCGUGGGUGAAGAAGGCCUUCGGGUUGUAAAGACCUUUUGUUGGGAAAGAAAAGCAGCAGGUUAAUACCACGCUGUUCUGACGGUACCCAAAGAAUAAGCACCGGCUAACUUCGUG